CAAGCACAGACUCCUCCUGAGUAUACCUUUGACUCACAUAUCAGAACCUUCUGGGGCCCUGAAGGCUGCCAAAUAUCCCACACACAGAGGAGGUGCCGGCUAUCCAGAGAUGGGGCAAAUGGCUCUUCAGGAAAGAGGAAAGGCCUUUUACCCUGAAGGAACGGCAGGCUUGUGUUCAAUUGGGAGGAGCUGUCACUGAUGUUCAGAGCUUUGUCUUGAGCCCUGGGAUUCCAGCUGGGUCCAGCAGCCAAACGGUCUUCUUCAAGCAAAACAGCAACCACCUUUGAAAGACAGGGGAAGGGAGCCUGAAUAUCUGACACCCUCAAACAAAAAGGCACUAAGGAGAAACAGUCAACCAUCACCCGCUGCUCCCUAAGAAGAG
This is a long non-coding RNA of Phodopus roborovskii (desert hamster), 382 nucleotides long. RefSeq lists it as uncharacterized. The record is from RefSeq and is a predicted model, not a curated record. The transcript has 3 exons. NCBI's taxonomy places the organism in Eukaryota, Metazoa, Chordata, Mammalia, Rodentia, Cricetidae.